This 200-nucleotide ribosomal RNA is filed under the name uncultured prokaryote. Its description in RNAcentral is "partial 16S ribosomal RNA". It matches the Rfam family "Bacterial small subunit ribosomal RNA", at positions 1184 to 1382 of the family's 1533-position model. The record is from RNAcentral.
GUCAAGUCAUCAUGGCCCUUAUGUCCAGGGCUACACACGUGCUACAAUGGACGGUACAGAGCGGAGCGAAGUUGCGAAACAUAAGCGAAUCGCUAAAAGCCGUCCGUAGUUCGGAUUGAAGUCUGAAACCCGACUUCAUGAAGUUGGAAUCGCUAGUAAUCGCGCAUCAGCAUGGCGCGGUGAAUACGUUCCCGGGCCUU